Oncorhynchus tshawytscha (Chinook salmon) is the source of this 455-nucleotide long non-coding RNA. The record is from Ensembl. NCBI's taxonomy places the organism in Eukaryota, Metazoa, Chordata, Actinopteri, Salmoniformes, Salmonidae.
GACGGAGCAGGUGUAAUGACGGAGCAGGUGUAAUGAUAGAGCAGGUGAAAUGAUGGAGCAGGUGUAAUGAUGGAGCAGGUGUGUGUAAUGAUGGAGCAGGUGUGUGUAAUGAUGGAGCAGGUGUGUGUAAUGAUGGAGCAGGUGUAAUGAGAAGUUACAGCCCCUCUCCUACCCACUAAGAGUUAGAGCCCCCUCUCCUACACACUAAGAGUUACAGCCCCCUCUCCUACCCACUAAGAGUUACAGCCCCCUCUCCUACCCACUAAGAGUUAGAGCCCCCUCUCCUACACACUAAGAGUUAGAGCCGCCUCUCCUACCCACUAAGAGUUAGAGCCCCCUCUCCUACCCACUAGGAGUUAGAGCCCCCUCUCCUACCCACUAGGAGUUAGAGCCCCCUCUCCUACCCACUAGGAGUUACAGCCCCCUCUCCUACCCACUACUAACCUAAUCUCAAC